GCAUUAGCAUCUCCAAGUUAUUGUUGGACGAGUCAUUGAUAGCUUGAGUGGUUGCUUAUGACAUUUCAGCGACAACGAUCAGUAAUGUGAAGCAGCCUAUUGCAAAUGCUUCUCUUCUUGAGGCAAACCCAUUGAAUUAUGGUGCCGGGCACAUCUGGCCUAGCCGUGCAAUGGACCCAGGCCUGGUCUAUGACCUAACGACUAAAGAUUACGUGAAUUUUCUAUGCUCCAUUGGCUAUAAUUCAACCCAGUUGUCACUUUUUAUUGGUAAGCCAUACAUAUGCCCGUCGCAGAACAAUGGUCUGCUGGAUUUCAACUAUCCAUCCAUUACUGUCCCGAAUCUCUCAAGCAAUAAGACCACGUUGUCCCGAACCUUGAAGAACGUGGGGACUCCAAGCUUGUAUAGAGUUAAUAUCAGGGCACCUGGAGGCAUAUCUGUGAAGGUUGAGCCAAGAAGCUUGAAGUUCGAUAAGAUAAACGAAGAGAAAAUGUUCAAGGUCACUCUAGAGGCCAAGAAAGGGUUUAAGAGUAAUGACUAUGUGUUUGGAGAGAUAACCUGGUCUGAUGGGAAACACCAUGUGAGGAGUCCUGUUGUGGUGAAGAAGAUGGAAGUAGCAGCCUAAGGUUGAAGGACACUGACCAGGCGUCUGGAUUUGUAGGUGGAAGGCCAGCGUGUAGAGAUCUAUAUAUCUCCAUGGUCACCAAAUCGAUCUUCAAAUUCCCGUUCCAUGUCAUGACAAGUAUCGAAUGUCACCAAAUCGUGUCAUUUUUUUUAUGCCACUAAUCUAGUGAUUGAACUAAGAAAAUAAAAAUAAAAAUAAAUGGUUUUGUUUUAGAAUAUUUUGGAAUGGUUUUUGGUUUUUAUCUACUCUAUUGAUUUUGUUUAGUUGCUUUAGUAUUUUUGUUUUUCUAUUUUUAUGUUAUUUAUGGCUCUGUUUUUUACCUUUUGUUGUGUGACAACUGAUUAGGUUACUGUACAUUAAGUUUUUUGAGAGUGUAGGUAAUGCUUGGAAGCCUUGCUUGCCAUCUUUCAUUUAUUAACAAAAUCUUAUGAUAAAGACAUUCAAUUGUCAUAUCCCUCAAUUGGAGAACAAAAGGAUAUCCAUACAUUUUGUAGGUGUCAAAAAAUAUGAAAGAUCUAUUUAUGUUAUUUAUUUACCUUAGUUUUUUUUUAGGCUUAAUAAUUCUAUCUAGAAAAAUUAUUUCUAGUAUCUAAUUAAUAACAUAUUGCACUGCGAUUAAGCUAACAAUGAAUGAAUUCCCACAAAGAUUUAUCUACCUAUCGUGGCUUUUUUUUUCUUCUCUUUAGGGUUCAUAAUUUUACCCAAGAAAAUCACAUAUUGCAUUACAAUUAAGUUAAUGAUGAAUGAAUUCCUACAAAGACCUUUUACCGAAGAAUGUGACCAUCUUAAGAGGUAGUAUAACAUCAUAAUUUUCUAAAAUAUCUUAGGUGUUGUUUUUGAACAAGUAUAUCCAAUUCAAACAUAAUAGUAAUAUAUAUUAUUUGGAAAAUUCUACGUUCAAUUUGUUCUUUGUCACUUAACUUUUUUUAUUCUUAAUUUAAUCAUUUCACAUUAAAUUAAUUUAGGAUUGAGUUUAAUGUUUUAUUUCAGUUGGGCUCUAGCGAUAUUAAUAAUAAGUUUUGACGUUAAGUUGAAGAUUAAUUUGGUAAAAUAAAAUUUAAAUUUAUUGAUUCAAAUCAAUUAAAAUGUCAACGACUUAAUUUUAAACUGUAAAUACUCAGUCUUUUUUUCUUUAAAAAAUAAUAUUUUUAUUUCAACUUUCUAACUCAAUUUUUAAUUGAAACUAACAUAUAUAACGCAUGAAUACAUCAAACUACAGCAACAAAAGAGCAGUCUUUUGUUGUAGAGUAUGAACAUAAAAUUAAACAGUCUUCUCUAAUUUAGAGCAUAAAAUGAAAUCGAUGUGCUAAUAGCUAACCAUAAACAGACAUAUUGAGGAAUUAAACUGCUGGCAUGGUCAUACCCUCCUGUUGAUAUAAUUGGGUCAAAUGGAAUAUUUAUUUUAAGCAAAAGCAAGAAAAAAGUAGUCUAAAAUAUGAUAAAGUAGUAGUAGUUGUGUUAAGCAAAAAGGAAGAAAUGUUGUCUUAUCAUCCCACGUUUUUGCCUGCAUGGACCGACGGAUCGCCUGCGAGAAGAAUGCUUUUUUUUUUUUAAAGCAUUCUUCUCAUAGGCGAUCCGUCGGUCUAUGCUUGAACAUGUAAGAAAAGUAAACCUAAUGUAUUCUCAGAUCUUUUAUUAUUAUUAUUAUAAAGAAUAAGUUUGAACUCCAUCUUUUUCUAAAAGAAAGGAGAUACCAAUACUAUUACAAAGAAAAAAAAUGAUUGGGAUUUUGAAAUUACUGUAUACCUAGACAUAAUGUAUUGUAAACGGAACAAUAUAAUUAUGUUUUUGCCUUUAUAUAUAGAAAAAAAAAAAACAUUAGACUAGCUAUUGGGAGUAAUACUGAAUUUUUUCAUGGACCAUGUGUUCAUUAUUAUAUUUAUUAGGGACAAUGCAGUCUGUUUACAUUUUUAUAGAACAAUGUAAUGACUAGAAUAACCUUAAAAUCAAAAUAAUUUUAUCUGAAUUUAGAGAUUGACUUGUUUUUUCAUUUUUAUAUGUAUAAUGAGUCUACAUACUUAACCUUGGAUGCAAAUUUUAUUAAACUUGGGAUCGAGGGCUUCUUUGUAUUUUCAUCAUUAUUUUUUAGUUAUAAUAUGGUCAAGUUUGGGGUAACUUGGUAUUUUAGUAAGUGUAAGAAAUAUUUUUUUUUUAAAAAAUGAUUGACGUGUACAACACACACAUUAACGUGUUAGGCGGCAUAUGCGGAUUUAUAUGGUGUUAGAAAAUGGCCAUCCGUGACGGUUAACAAUCCUCUUGGCAUCCCUUUUCUGAUGAAGUGGCGGCGUGUGCAGCGGUGUGGCUCCUACCACUUUUUUUUUUCUUCUCACUUCUCCUUGAAAAACAAGUUACCCAAUCAAAAAUCUAUGUUUUCCUUUUAAUUUUUUUUUUUUAAGUUUAUGAUUUAGUUCCCUUUUGAUUAUCUUAUUUUCAUUUUGAUUUUUUUUGAAAACUUUAAAUUUUUUAUUUAUUUUGCCUUUAAUUUAAAUGUUAUUUUUAUUUCAUGUUUGAUUCUCUUUCUUUUGAUUUCUUAUUUAUGUAUUGAUUUUAUUUUUUUUGUAAAAUGUAAGAUUUUUUUCAAAUUCAGCCUAAAAUCAAACAAUGUUAUUUUUAUGCUUUGUCUGUUUUUGUUUAACAUUUGAUCUUUAUUAUUUUAUAUUGCUAUUUUAUUUUAUGGAACCUUUUGUCAAAUUAUUUUUUUUUCUUUCAAUUUCAUCCCUCAAUCUUGGGUUGGUUAGUUAGAAAUUGAGGGUCAUGGUUUUUUUCUAUUGAGUUACACCAGUUUCAUGACUCUGGUAAAAAAUUUAAAAGUUUGGGUCAACUUGGGUGGUGUCGACUUUUUUCCCCUCUUUUUACACUAAUUUCCUUUUAGUUUUACUCCUUUAAUACUUUAGAUUUGUGAAGUUAUUCGUGUUUUCUUCAAACUCAUUUUUAAAAUCUAACUAGAUUUAUUUCACUCCAUUAUCAUGGUCUCUUGACCUUGAUAGUAAGUUUUUCUAUUUACUUAGGGAUCGCUCUACGUUUUUCUUUUGGAGUUAUCUUUUUAAAAUUGAUUAUUUUUUUCUAGUUUAGUUGUUCAUUAUUUUUUUUUGCAUUUAGGCUCCGUUUGUUUGCAGGAAAGUGAAUUCCUUUUGGAAAGUGAAUUCCGGGAAAGUAUUUUCCGAUGUUUGGUAGUGUUAUGGAAAAUGAAUUGGAAAACACUUUCCAGUGUUUGGUUAUGUCAUGGAAAAUGAGCUGGAAAAUAACUUAUUAAUAUUUUAUUUUUUUCAAGUUUAUUAAAAUAAUGAGGAACAAAUCUUACAAAUUAAAAAGUUGAAUGAUAAUGAAAUUGAAAAAAAUAUAUAAUUUCAUAAAUUAUCUCAAAUAAAACAAAUAAUAAUCAAAAUAAUAGGGGUCAAAUCUAAAAAAUUAAAAAAAAAAUGAAAAAUGAAGAAAUUAAAAUAAUAAUAAUCAACAUUUCAUAAAUUAUUUCAAAUAAAAUAAGUAACAAUCAAAAGAAUGAGGAUCAAAUUUGAUAAAUAAAAAAUUUCAAUAAAAAAAUGAUAAGAAAAAAGCAAAUACAAUUAUAAAAAUAAGGACCAAAGUUAAUAUAAAAAUAAAAUUUUAAGAGAUGAAAUUGAAAAAUAAAUAUUCAAAACAAAAUAUAUAUAGUAAUCAAAAGUUUGAGGAUCAAAUUUGAUAUAAUCAGCAAAUAAUGGCAUUUCUAAAUUUUUCACAACUUCCGGAAAGUGUUUUCCCCUCAAAUUUUUCAGGAAAACACUUUCCUGAAAACCAAGCCAAAUUUUCCUUUUACUGGAAAGUGUUUUCCAUUGACCAACUUUCCUACUGGCAAAUAAACACAAGAAAGUUUGGAAAGUGCUUUCCCGGAAACCACUUUCCGGAAAACAAACACAGAUAAAAGGAAAACACUUUCCUGAAAACCAAGUCAAUUUUUUUUUUGACUAAAAUUGACUGGAAAGUGUUUUCCGUUGACCGGAAAGUGUUUUCCGUUGACUAGAAAGUGUUUUCCGCUGACCGGAAAUUGUUUUCCGUUGACCAACUUUUCUAAUGACAAACAAACACAAGAAAGUUUGGAAAAUGGUUUCCCGGAAACUACUUUCCGAGAAACAAACAAGUCCUUAGCUUCAUAAAUUUGGGAAAAUGAUGAUUUUUUAAAAUAAAAAAAAUACUUUUAUACAUAUAUAUGCAUUUAUAUUAUUUCUUAAAAAAGUGUUAAAAUUAGAACGACAAUUUAUAAUACUUCAAACAUGUUAUUGUUUCAUAGCUCAUCGAACUAGAUAUAUGUUAUAAUAUCUUAAUUACCAGCAUAGAUCAAUCUUAAUUAUAAUCCACCAUAAGUACAAUAACAUGAACAGGCCAUGAAUUAUGACACGGUGGUCUGCAACUGUAUCCUUCUGCUCUUUUGCUCUUCUUUUUCUCGACAAGUAAUUGUUGAGUGGGUCUUUGUAGCCAGAAACCAACACUUUCUUUUGGGUGUGUGUAUAUAUAUAUUUUAUACUAUACCGCAAGUCUUGGAGACAAUCUUCCACUUUAUUAGCCAUAUAUUUGUGGGUUCCAUAUAAAUUCAACAAGAUCAAUGGCAAUUAGGAUUAUGUUUUGUUAAUAGAUUAAAUAGAUAAUUUGAUUCACGUCAUUUGUCUCUCAAUAUUAGAAUUAAUUACUCGGUUGAUUCUGAAAUUUAAUGAUAACUUUACGGAGUUAAUCUAAUGGUUAAGAAAUCAUGCUUUUAUCUUUAUUUUUUCAGCUAAACAUUUGGAAUUAACAUUCUAAAAAAUCCAUUAAAUUUCUUUAAAUAUAUCGAAUCGAUGUAUUUUUUUUUAAAGAAAAACUUAGUUUUAAUACUGGACACGCUAAAAAAAUAGGGUUUAAAUACUAUGGUGCACAACUUUGAUAAAUGUCGUUAUGAAAAAGCUUAUGCUGUCCACCUUUUCGACAAGCAUGAUACUCCUUUAAUCUUCUUUUCUAAGUAAAACAGGACACCACAGUUCCAUUUAUUUUUCCUUUUUGCUCCAAAAGACAGCUUACAAAGCCCUCCUCUCAUCAAAAGAGGAAGUAAAGUAAGAAGAAAAGGGAGAAAACAACAAUAAUCCCGAUGAUAAAGGGCCUAGCUAGCUACAGUACUGUUCCGUUUUAGGUUCCAGUCUUCUAUCAGUUGUGAGAAAAAGAAAAUGAUUUGGUUAAUGUAUUGCGUACAGCAGAAAAGAGAGGAGAAAACAUCAACAAUAAAAAAAAAAAAAGCAAAACAUUCAAGAACAGUAAUGCGGUGUUAUCAUUGCACUAACUCGUAAUGUAAAUUAUAAUUAGACAGUGAAUCCAGGAUUAAAGAGAACAUGCGUUGGAUCUAUGAUGAGGAAAGAACAGAAAAUACCAAUGAAGGCCUUCGUCUAAAUAAAAUGGACAAUACACUGCAUGAAUCCACGGUGUUUUCACUCACAAAGCACAAUAAAUAACUUAGCUGAUUUAUUUAUUUAUUUAUUUUUUUUUUGUAACUGGGUGAUGUUUACGGUAAAAUAAACUGGAUUUCUUGUUUUUCCUUUGUUUUCACCUCUUUGCUGAGGGGAUGGAACUGUUGAAAGCUAAGCUAAUUACUUGUGAUUAAAGUCUUAGAAGAAGAUUACGUAGACCGAAGGAAGAAGGAUGAAAAAAUUGAAGAAAUUCUGUUAAAACAGUUAAAGAGUUAGUUAUAAUCGUUAUGGCAGUUAUAUCAGUUUUUACUGUUACAAAAACUGUUACAAAUCAUUCUUACAUGUGUAAGAAUCGUGACCCUCCAUUAAUGGAUGGAUGAGAUGAUCUUGAUUCCUAAAAUACCGGAAUCAGUUACAUACAAUGUAUAUAAAUGCAGAGUUUGCUGCAUUGAAAAAUAUAUAGAAAAUACACAAGAAUUUCUUCAUAAUCUUCUCUGCACAUUUAAGCAUAUUCUUCUUUUUAAAACCUUCAGAAAAUAAACAUGGUAUCAGAGCUUACAAACUGAUUCCAAAGGAGCGUAAACUGUGACAAACAGAUUGAUUAAACUAUUAUUUACUCAAAAAAUGGUAGGAUCAAGCUCUGUUGGAGGAGAUUUAAGAACUUCAUAGUUUAAUGGCACAAAUUAUGAUUUUUGGGCUGUAAAAAUGGAGACUAUCCUCAUAGCAUUCGAUCUAUGGGAAGUAAUAGAAGUUGGAAUCAAUUCUCAUCCAUCAUCUAAGGUUGCAACUGGAUCAUGCGAUGAAGAGAGUGAAGUUGAGCAAACUACAUUGCAUGCAUCCACGACAUCCAGAGAAGAAAAAAUCAAGAAUGCAAAGGCAUUAAGCCUUAUACAAGGAGCAUUAACAGAUGACCUCUUCCCACGAAUAAGAAAUGAAAAGACUGCAAAAGGAGCUUGGGACAUUUUGAGUAGAGAAUUCAGAGGAGAUAAAAAGGUUAGAGCUGUAAAACUUCAAGCAGUGAGAGCUGACUUUGAAUACCUGAGAAUGACAGAAAGUGAGAGCUUAGAUGGAUAUCUAGCUAAAUUCUUUGCAACUGUGAAUAACCUGAAAUCAUUAGGAGAAGAUGUAUCAGAAAACAGAAUUGUGCAGAAAUUGCUAAUGAGUCUAAGCAGAAGGUAUAAGUCCAUUAUGAGUCCCAUGUAUGAAGGUGUGGUAUGUAUCUAUCUAUUGUGAAAAAUAUGGUGAGACAAGGAAUUCUUUGUCUCUUAGCGGUGAAAAAUGGACCGGAAGUCGCCACCUAGUAUUCUGGUUGUUAGAAACCCUAACUGGUCUUUAGAGAUCAGGUAUGGAGACUAGUUGCGUAAAGGGAAGGUGUUAACACCCCAACUACUCCCUACCUAAGAUAGGCUGCAUUGUUUUGUCUAAUAAAAUCUAAGUCAUGUUGUGGUUUCUUAUUGUUCAGAAUAUGCAUUACGUGUAAUGUCAUACCCCAGGUUCUAUUGUCCGAAAAAAAGAAUUAAAUAUCCGGAAUACACAGUACGUGUAAUAUCAUGCCCCGAAUACUAAGAGAUAAACAAAAUAAAAUUUUUGUUUGUUUUUGAAAUUUUGGCCAAUGUUCACUUGACUUUAAUAAACUGGUUAUUAAAGCCAAAAUGCAUGCUAAACAUUGAUUUUUGGUGUAUAUAAAAAACACAAUAUGAUUUUUUAGCUUGGAGACACUUGGCCGUAUGCACAAAAAUAUUUUUUUCUUUUUUUUAAUUUUUUUUUGUAUUUUUGGAAGUUUUGACGAAAACCGGGUAUUUUAAUAUCGGAUUUUGUAUUUUUAGCAACAUAAAAACACUGCUUGAUGUUAAUCAAAAUGACAUAAAAAAAUACACGGGAAACUUGUAAAAUUACAAACAAAUAUUAUUUUGAAUUUUUUUUUAACAAAAAAAAAAAGAGGCCAGAUCUGGCCCAACCAUCCUGGGCUGGGCCUGACCCGGCCCAUAUAUUGUGGGCUGGACUCAACCCAGCCGUAUGGGCUGGGCUGGACUCAACCCAGCUGAUUUUCCAACCUGUAACCAAUGAAAGGGGUUGGUUACUGUACACAGCACAGUAACCAGUAAAAAAUAUAAUUAGAUAGUUACUGUGCACAGCACAGUAACUAGCUAAUUAAAUCUUCAUUUGCUGCAGAACGUAAACGUUUUGCAUGCAAAUGAAGCUGAAGCGAAAAACAGACAGGGGAGGGGAGAAAAUUACCUGGAGCGAUGGCGACGCUGGCGACAACGGAUGUGGCAGGGGUGGUGGUGUAGGCGGCGACUGUUCUCUUUCCUUGUCUCCUAUUUCCUCUGUUUCUCUUCUCAGCCACCCUCUCCUCUGCCUUUUUUUCAUUGUCUGCUCUUCUUCUCCUCUUUCCCUUUGUGGUUGUCAGUGGCGUUUCAGAUGGCAGUGUCAGCGGUGGUCAGGUGGUGUGUUGUGGCGGUGGAGAGGAAGCAUGAUGGCAGCUGCGGUUCUUCUUCUUCUCCGGUAUAAAUAUAUUCUUGUCACUUCCCUUUCUCUUCUCUGCCUCCUUUGCCGGUUUCCCUUUCCCUCCUCUGCCUUCCCCAAAUAUUCCCCUCCCUUUUUCUGUAAUACUUCCCUCAGGUGGUUCCAGCUUUCCCUUCUCUCCCCAGUCUUUCUCUCUUUCGGUCUCUUUAAUAAACUCUCAGUUCUUUCUCUUGGUUUCCCUUAAAAAUCAUUCCCAGCUUCCUCCCUUUUUCUCCUCUCUUUUCUCCCUUCUUUCGGCACUCCCUCCUCUGGUAUUUAUAGGCAGAGGAGGGGAGGGCCACCUUACCCUUGUCAUGGUGCAGGGUAAGGUGAGCCGAGGAGUUGUUCGCAGGGUAUGGUGCUUUCAGUGCGAAGGCGUGGUGGUGUCAGUGAAGGGACAAGUCGGGUCGUCGUUGGUUUUUUGGGUUUUGGGACAGAGAGAGAGGGGGAAAUAGAAAACAGGGGAAAAAUGCUUCUUCUUCCCUUGCUCUUUGCGUGUGCAGGGGAAGAAGAAAGCUUAUGGUGCCGUUCACAACGACACCGUUUGUCCUUUUUUUUUGGAAAUGCAUGAAACGACGCCGUUUUGACCAAAACGCGUUGUUUCAUUUAAAUGAAAACAGGUGCCAGAAUGCAUUCAAUUUCAGAUCAGCCCCUCAAUUUGCGCGCUUUUUCAUUGUAGUCCUUGGUUUUGAAUUUCUUCGAUUAAGUCCUUAAUUGGCCACUAGACUUCAAUAUGCAUGCAAUUAAGCCCCUGAUUUGACCCAAUCAACUCUAAAAAAUAUAAUUUGACCCCAGAACUUCAAUUUCUUCGAAUUAAAACCCCAAAUUGACUUUAAAAUCAAAUUUUCUUGCAAUCAAACCCUCCAAUAAUUCAAUUAAACUUUCAAUAAAAUUUAAUUGAGUCCAUAAACAUCUGAUUUUGUACUUUUCUUCCUCCAAUAAAAUUUCCUUAAUCAAAAAGGCUCUCACUGGUCAAUGAUAUACUGUCAAAUUUCGAUUCAUUGAUAUAUUUUUGAUAUAUUAUUAUUAUUAUUAUUAAUUAAUUAAUUAAUUUUUUUAAAAUAAUUGUUUUUCUUAUUUCUUAUACGGGGACCAAAAAAAGGGUUGCAACAGGAACCAUGUUCUAUGCUUGCCAUUCUACAAGUCUGCAAGAUAGAAAGGUAUGGUUUGUGGAUAGUGCUUACAGCAACCACAUGACCUCUCAAGAAUCCGAACUAAUCAACAUCGAUAGAAUAGUAACCUGCACUAAAUCACCUCGUUUGAUCCCACAGCUUCACCCCUCGACUUGAUUUCGAAUAUGGUGAAGAUGAGUCAAGGGAUCCUCCUCUAGCAUUGGAUGCUUUGCGAUGUUGAUUUCGAUGGCUUACACAUGCUGUCUGCUCAUAAUUUCUUAUAUUCGUUUCAACAAUAAGAUUACGCCGAGUAAUCUCCAUCCCUCGAAAUCAUAGUAUUGCCCGAGUCAAAAAGCAUGAUUGAUUACCGAGCAAUACUAUCUCGACCACUGCAAAACACACUCUUGAAUUCCUGAAAAGCAGCAUGUCCUCGUGUAGGGCAUUACUACAUGCAUGAAAGUAUUAAGAAACCGGGAUCUUUGAGUAGAUCUUUCAAGUGGGAUAGGACCCACUUAAAAAAAUAGCAAGGCAAAAUUGAGGCCCAUGUGUAAGCAUACAAGGACAUCCAUUAAAGCCCAUGAGUAAAUCUUUCACUAAUUUUUAUUUAUCAAUUUUCCCAUAAAUUAUCUUGAUUUUCCAGUUCCCGUUAAAAUUAUUUAAUGAAAAACGUUAAGUACUUGUAAAAUGAUGCUAUUUUUUUAAUAGAAAAAAAGUGCAAUUUAGAAUAUAUUUUUUAAUAAAAACAUAAUUGAAAAGCCUUAAAGAUGAAUGCAAGUCGUUAACAAAACAAGUAGUUUUUAAAGUUUAAGAGUAAAAUCAGUAUGCAAAAUUAUGUAAUGACAAAAUUAAGACUAUUGAGAGUGUUUCUGAGACUUCGGCUUUUCUUCUUUGAAGCUUCGACGUAAGUGCUUUGGAGGGUGAGAGAAAUGGAGGAGAGAAGGGUUGACUAGCUGUAAACCAAUUAUUGACCCAGAGGGGUUCCUUUUUGAGGUCACCAAAUUUCCACGAAAGAGAUGAAAUCACCUAUAAGCCCAAGCUCAAAGGUUACAGAAUGUAAAAAAAGGCAAGCUAAUCGUUGUUCUCUUAUUGAGCAAAAAGCAAAGCAAACAUGGGCAGGAGGACAGCUUCUUGCUCUCUGUUUCUGUUUUUCACUCUUUUCACAACCUUGCAGAGUCCAAUUCUGGCUGCAAAAAAGGCAAGCUAGCAUGCAUUAAUGUUGUCUGAUCGUUUAGUCUUUCAAGUUACAUUUGCAAUCUCUCUUAUGUUAUAAUUCUGCUACUGACAGUGAUACCCGUGUCUGUGUACGUGCAGUCUUAUGUGGUUUACCUUGGGAGACAUUCUUAUGCUUCUGAACCUUCCACCACUGACCUGGAUAGGGUACCCGAUGCCCAUCAUGAACUUUUGGGUUCUUGUAUGAAGAGGUGAUGCAGUCCUGAAUAUUUCUGCUGUGUGAUCAGUGCUGUAUUUGGUUGUUCUAAUACUGAUGAUUAAGUUUGAACUCGUUAUUGUUGAAUAAACUCAAUCUAGAAGCACCUAGAUAGUCAAGGAAGGCAACCACCCACCAGCCGCAGCCGCCAGCCGCCAGCCGCCUUCACACCGCCGGUCAACAGCCGCCUUCACACCUGGAACAGUAGAUUUUCGUAUUCUGUUUUUUGUCUAUAAAUAGAGUGCCCAGCUUGUGUUUAUUUGAGUGGAGAGAAUAGAGAGAAACACUUGAAAGAGAAAGAGAGAAAGAGGGUGUGUUUAAGCUUUUGUUUUAAUUAAUUGUAAGCUUCGGAUUUUGUAAUAAAACCAGUGUGUUUUAUCCCCUCUGAGUGUUUCAAAGCCACCACCAGUGGUUCCUCCCACCAACAAUUGGUAUCAGAGCCCCGUUCGUCGGAAAACAGAAGAGUUUUGGGGUAUAUCCGAAUUUUCAAAGUUGUCAAAAACAAGUUUUGAUCAUUCCACAGUGUAGAGCUCAUCAAGACGAACUCACGCCGCAAAAAUCAGCCUCAUCGGAGUCCGGGUAGCCACACGCGCCGUCUGAAUAUUCACCAGAUCGCCCACGCGCAUCCCACGCGCCCGAGGUUGAAGACGACUGAGCCACACACGCGCCAUAUUGAGCCGUGUAAGCCGCCUAAGCCGAGUCCAGCCGAGCCACAAGCCGAGCCGUACCCGAGCCGAGCCGAGCCGAAGGAAUAUUCCCAGAAUAUUCCCGAAUAUUCCCCAGCAUAUUCCCAAGAAUAUUCCCCGAAUAUUCCACAGAAUAUUCCCGGUUCAACCCAGCGAACCGCCCGCCGUACAGAAUUGGUUUUUGACCGGUUCACCCAUUUUUGACCCGAUUUCAACAAAGUCAGACCGGUUCCCGACUAUUUGGACCAUUCCGGAUCGAUCUACAGUGUCCGUUUGGUCAAAUUCGGCUCCCAGAAGGCGAUAUAGUCAUUAAAAGAGCAAAAUGACUACAGAAGGUACACAUACACUCAUCCCGAAGCUGACCAAAGACAACUAUGAUAGUUGGUGCAUCAGAUUGAAGGCAUUUCUUGGGUCACAAGAGUGUUUGAUAUUGUACAAACUGGUUAUGAUGAACCAGAGUCCAAAGAAAGAGAAGAUGCUUUACAAGAGGCACAGAAGCAAGCCUAAAGUCAACAGAAAGAAGGACAACAAGCAAAGACCAUCAUCUAUCAAGGUCUUGAUGAAGAUACAUUCGAGAUAAUAGCUUCCGCUGAAACGUCACAUGAUAUAUGGGAGGCUCUCCAACAGAAAUACAAAGGUGCUGACAGAAUCAAGAAGAUUCGUCUUCAAUCUUUGAGAGGAGAAUUCGAAUUAUUACGAAUGAAGUCCUCAGAAUCUAUUUCUGAUUAUCAUACAAGGAUUAUGGUGAUAGUCAAUCAGAUGAGAGAAAUGGAGAAGCCUCAUGAUACUCGAAUUAUUGAGAAAAUUUUGAGAUCCAUAGAUCCAAAAUUUGAUCAUGUUGUUGUCGCAAUUGAAGAGUCCAAGGAAGUGGACAAGUUGACAGUGGAUGAGCUUAUGAGUUCUUUGCAAGCUCAUGAGCAGAAGAUUGUAAUGCGAAAUGAAGAUAAGGCCAUUGAGCAUGCCUUACAAGCAAAGCUGUCUUUCAAGGACAGAUAUGAGCAAGGGGAGACUUCAUCAAGUGGCUACACCACUCAAGGAGGAAGUCAACAAUCCAGAGGAGGAUUCAGAGAUUCCAAGGAAGAGGGAUCUUGGAAUACAAGCUUCAGAGGAAGAGGUGGCAGAAACACCACCAGAGGAGGCCGAGGACAACAAGCAUUCACUCCUAGAGGAAGAGGAGGCGGUUACAAUAACCGUGACAAGAGAAAUAUCAAAUGUUAUAGCUGCAAUCAAUUUGGGCACUAUAGCACUGAAUGCCGAUGGAAAGCUCCGUUGGAGACACGUGAGCAAGCCAACUAUGUAGAGAAGCAUGAUGGAGAAGCAUCUGCAUUUCUUGUCCAACAAGGACAUGGCGAGAAACAAGAGGAGAUAUGGUAUCUAGAUACUGGAGCCAGCAAUCACAUGUGCGGCUACCGAGAGUUAUUUGGUGAUCUAGAUGAGACCAAGCAAGGUCUAGUUACUUUUGGAGAUACCACAAAGGUUCCAUUCAAAGGUAAAGGCAACAUCCCAGUCAAGUUGAAGAAUGGCGAUUCCAGCUACAUCGCCGAUGUGUAUUAUGUCCCAGCCAUAAAGCAGAACCUGAUCAGCUUAGGCCAACUUUUGGAGAGAGGAUAUAGUUUUUACUCGAAGAAUUGUCAUCUGACAAUUAGAGACAACAAUGGGAGAUUAAUGGCCUACGUGAAAAUGUCCAAGAAUAGGAUGUUUCCUUUGAACAUCCAGUAUGAUGACAAGGUGUUUGAGUGCCAUCACCAACAGUGAAGAAUGGCUUUGGCACCUGAGGCUUGGACAUCUGAAUUUCACGAGUAUGAAGAUGCUAGCAAGCAAGAAGAUGGUCAAAGGUUUGCCUCACAUUGAUCAUCCAGAUGAAGUCUGUGAGAGUUGUGUCCUCAGCAAACAUCACAGAUCCAGUUUUGCCAAAGAAGUCAACUGGAGAGCAAAGAGGCCACUGGAGUUAGUACACACAGAUGUGUGUGGCCCAAUUACGCCUAUGUCGACUGGACAAAAUAGGUACUUCCUCACUUUUACUGAUGAUUUUAGUAGAAAGACGUGGAUAUACUUUCUGAAGAGGAAGUCAGAAGUAUUCAAUUGUUUUAAAGAUUUUAAAGCAAUUGUGGAGAAGCAAACUGGUUACACGAUCAGAACCGUAAGAUCUGAUCAAGGUGGAGAAUAUACAGCAAAUGACUUUGAAGCCUAUUGUACACAACAAGGCAUCAGACAUCAGACGACGCCAGCUUAUACACCACAGCUGAACGGUGUAGCAGAAAGGAAGAAUCGCACGAUUCUUGACAUGGCCAGAAGUUGCUCAAAGCAAAGAAGUUGCCCAAGCAAUACUGGGCUGAAGCUGUAUCAUGUGCAGUGUAUCUACUGAAUCGCUGCCCAACCAGAAGUUUGCAAGGAGUCACUCCAGAAGAAGCAUGGAGUGGUCACAAACCAAGUGUUACUCAUCUACGAGUCUUUGGUUGUGUGGCAUAUGCAAAGAUCCCAGAUGCAAGAAGGAGAAAGCUCGAUGAUAAGAGCGAGAAAUGCAUCUUUGUCGGAUAUGGUGAAAGAAGGAUGGGAUACAGGCUGUAUAAUCCCAUCACGAAGAAGGUGAUUACGAGUAGAGAUGUUAUCUUUGAAGAAGAUAAAUCUUGGGCAUGGAAUGAUCAAGAAGCAAUCAAAUGGAUCAAUCUGAUUUGAUCCUUGAAGGUGAAGAAGUACCAACAGUACUUGUCAGAACCGAUUGUGCCAGCCUGAACCACAAAGUCCUUGUGCCAGCAGCUGAACCACAAAGUCCGGCACACAGUUUCCCUGUAUUCAACAGGAGGAACACACCAGGAGCAUCAUCAUCAACACCACCAGCAUCCUCAUCAGAAGGACCAAGAAGGAUGCGGAAUCUUGAAGAGUUGUACGAUACCACUCAGGUUAUGGAAGAUACAACUCUAUUUUGUUUCUUUGCAGAUAGUGACCCACUAAGCUUCGAUGAAGCUAUCACAGAAGAGAAGUGGAUAGAAGCAAUGGAUGAAGAAGUACAUGCCAUUAAGAAGAAUGAUACCUGGAAGCUGACUUAUCUACCAGAAAACAAGAAAGCAAUAGGUGUCAAAUGGGUCUACAAGACGAAGAAGAAUGCCAAAGGAGAAGUGCAAAGAUACAAAGCCAGAUUAGUGGCUAAAGGCUACAAACAGAGAGAAGGCAUUGACUAUGGAGAAGUAUUUGCUCCAGUAGCCCGGCUAGAGACAAUCAGACUGAUGAUCUCACUAGCUGCACAACAUAGAUGGAAGAUCUAUCAACUCGAUGUGAAGUCAGCAUUUCUGAAUGGCUUCCUAGAAGAAGAAAUCUAUGUUGAACAACCACUUGGAUACAUUGAUGCUGAAAAUGAAGGCAAAGUAUACAAGUUGAAGAAGGCUCUCUAUGGUUUGAAGCAAGCUCCGCGUGCUUGGAAUACCAGAAUUGACAGGUAUUUUCAAGAUAAUGGAUUUGAAAAAUGUCCAUAUGAACACGCAAUGUAUGUGAAGAAAGGAGCAGAUGGCAGCAUCUUAUUUGCGUGCCUGUAUGUUGAUGAUUUGAUAUUCACCGGCAACAACCCUACCAUGUUUGACGACUUCAAACGAAGCAUGGUACAGGAGUUUGAAAUGACUGACAUUGGUCUAAUGUCACAUUUUCUUGGCUUAGAAGUAACGCAGAAGGAAGAAGGGAUUUUUGUAUCCCAAAGCGGUUACGCCAAAGAUAUUCUUGAAAGGUUCAAGAUGGAAAGCUGCAAUCCGGUAUCAACUCCAGUUGAGAAUGGAGUGGAAUUGAGGAAGAGUAAGGUUGGAAAUGUUGAUCCAACUUACUUCAAAAGCUUAGUAGGAAGCUUAAGGUACUUGACAUGUACCAGACCGGAUAUACUCUACGGAGUCGGACUCGUCAGCAGAUACAUGGAGACACCAGACCAGUCUCAUUUGAAUGCAGCCAAGAGAAUUCUUCGCUACAUCAAAGGCACAAUGAAUGAAGGUAUGUUUUAUACCUCAAGUAAAGACUUUAAUCUUGUAGGCUACUCGGAUAGUGAUUGGGGUAGAGAUCUGGAUGAAAGGAAAAGCACAACAGGGUUUGUCUUUUUCAUGGGAGACACAUCUUUCACAUGGUCAUCCAAGAAGCAAUCGAUUGUCACAUUAUCAAGCUGUGAAGCUGAGUAUGUUGCUGCCAACUCAGCCGUAUGCCAUUCAAUAUGGUUAAGGAAUAUGCUGAAGUUUUUGGGAUUUCCUCAAGAAAGUCCUACGGAGAUUUAUAUUGACAAUCGAUCAGCAAUCGCAUUAGCAAAGAAUCCAGUGUAUCAUGAGAGGAGCAAACACAUUGAUACACGUCAUCACUUUAUCCGGGAACAUGUGAAGAAUGAAGAAGUCCAACUGAUAUCUUGCAACACAAAUGAUCAAGUUGCUGACAUCUUCACAAAGCCAUUGAAAGGAGAAGUAUUCAUCCGAUUAAAGUUCAUGCUUGGCAUGACAUCCCUCGAUUGAGUUUAAAGGGGAGAUUUGUUGAAUAAACUCAAUCUAGAAGCACCUAGAUAGUCAAGGAAGGCAACCACCCACCAGCCGCAGCCGCCAGCCACCAGCCAGCCGCCAGCCGCCAGCCGCCUUCACACCGCCGGUCAACAGCCGCCUUCACACCUGGAACAGUAGAUUUUCGUAUUCUGUUUUUUGUCUAUAAAUAGAGUGCCCAGCUUGUGUUUAUUUGAGUGGAGAGAAUAGAGAGAAACACUUGAAAGAGAAAGAGAGAAAGAGGGUGUGUUUAAGCUUUUGUUUUAAUUAAUUGUAAGCUUCGGAUUUUGUAAUAAAACCAGUGUGUUUUAUCCCCUCUGAGUGUUUCAAAGCCACCACCAGUGGUUCCUCCCACCAACAGUUAUGACAGCAAGGAGAAGGCGAAACAAGCCAUCUUUUACUCCUACACUCGCUAUAUCAACGGUUUUGCAGCAGUACUUGAAGAAGAAGAAGCAGCUGAAAUUUCAAGUAUUUAUAAUACUAUUAAAAUUGUUCAGCUUGUAUAUCGUGCAAUCCUUGGUACUAUUACAAUUAUGGUCUUGUUAAUACGUUUUCAGAGCAUCCAGAAGUUGUAUCAGUUUCUCGAAACCAAAUAAGUCAAUUACACACAACAAAUUCAUGGGGCUUUCUUGGACUGGAAAGAAAUGGAGAAAUUCCAGCUGAUUCUAUGUGGCUAAAGGCAAGAUUUGGCGAAGACGUAAUUAUCGGGACCCUUGAUACUGGUAAUUAUAAUUUUACUUGUCUGUGUACAUGCAUAGAACUGGUCAAGUCUCCUUCAUAUCAUUUCAUCUUCUUAAUUUAAAUGUUUCUUGCAUUCAAUUAUUUUGGACCAGGUACAGCUACAUUGCAUCUUAAAGAAAAAUCUCCAAUGAUGGUAAAUUUUUGAUCUAUUUUUCUUGACUGUGCGUGACGCUAGGUGUUUGGCCGGAAUCCGAAAGCUUCAAUGAUGAAGGGAUGGGGCCUGUUCCAUCUAAAUGGAAAGGAUACUGCGAUCCAAAUGAUGGGAUUAAAUGCAACAGGUACUUUAAUUUCUUUCUCAAGGCCAGAGCUCUUUUCUUGACCUGAACUACUCAUUUUGCCUCUGAUAAUGAACCGCGGACAAAUUCUUCCGUUUCCUAUAGUAAGAUUAGUAACAUAAAAGACAUGUUGUUAUUAGCAGGAAACUUAUAGGAGCAAGGUACUUUAGCAAAGGCCACGAAGCUGCAGAAACACAUGAUUCUUCAAACCACACCGCGCGAGAUUAUGAUGGCCAUGGAACCCACACUCUAUCCACUGCUGGAGGUCGUUUUGUUUCGGGGGCAAACUUGCUUGGUUCAGCUUAUGGAACAGCUAAGGGAGGUUCGCCCAGCUCGCGAGUCGCUUCAUACAAGGUCUGCUGGCCCCGCUGUAGCGAUGCUGAUGUGUUGGCUGGCUAUGAAGCUGCUAUUCAUGAUGGGGUCGAUAUCCUCUCAGUGUCACUUGGAUCCGGUCCGAGAGAAUACAUUACUCAUGGGAAUGCAAUUGGAGCAUUUCUUGCUAUGGAGCGCGGGAUUCUUGUGGUUGCCUCGGCUGGAAAUGAAGGACCUGACCCUGGAGUCGUAGGGAAUGUAGCUCCCUGGAUUCUUACAGUUGCUUGUAGCACUAUCAGUAGGGAGUUCACAUCUAAUGUCAUCCUCGGAAAUAACAAACAAUACAAGGUUCGUUCUGUAAGCUCAUAUCUUUAGCAAGUCCUUGUAAAUUGUUCUACCUAUCAUGGGAUCCAAGAAUUUGCUAUAUUAAUUUCUAGAUAAUCAGGGUAUGAGUUUUAAUACCAACACUCAACCAGCUGGGAAGUUUUACCCCUUGAUCAAUUCGGUGGAUGCUAAAGCUGCCAAUGUUUCCAGUAAUCAAGCGUAAGCAGCAAACUAAUUUUGUUCUCAGCCAAAAUUACAUUUUCUGUAGUUGUUAGGUUCAUAUUUCUUAUCUUGUUGUCUUUGGCAGAAAAUAUUGCUCCAUCGGAUCCCUUGACCCCUUGAAAGUUAAAGGAAAAAUCGUAUAUUGUACUCGCAAAAGAUCCUGAUGUAGAAAAGAGUCUGGUUGUUUCUCAAGCUGGUGGUGUUGGGGUGAUACUUGCUAAUCAAUUGAUAAUUCAACAAAUCCGACCUCGGGCACACUUUGUUCCUACUUCCGUUGUCUCUGCAGACGAUGGACUUUCCAUUUUAACUUAUGUCUAUAGUACAAAGUAAGGUCUAUGUAAUAGAUAAUUCAGACAAUUAAACUUUGUUGAUUUCAGUCGAUAAUGCCCUGAACAAUCUAUCGUUUGUGAUCCUGUGAAUCUCUUGGAACUUCUCUUUUCACUCAGGUCACCUGUAGCUUACAUAAGUGGCGCCACGAAGGUGGGAACAGUGGCUGCACCUGUCAUGGCUGAUUUUUCAUCUCCUGGGCCUAACUUCAUCACCCCAGAGAUCCUUAAGGUACGUACUCUUAAUAGCUUCACAUGAGCGUUUUAAAAUACAUGAUCAAUAUUAUUUUUAUAGUGAGAGUGCAUAUGUGAUGAUUUCAGCCCGACAUCACUGCACCUGGAGUCAAUAUUCUAGCUGCCUUCACCGGAGCAUCAGGGCCAACUGCUGUGCCAGGAGACCGGCGCCGAGUACAUUUCAACUUUUUAUCUGGAACCUCAAUGGCAUGCCCCCAUGUUUCCGGAAUCGCUGGUCUUCUCAAAACUAUUCACCCUGAUUGGAGUCCUGCUGCAAUUAAAUCUGCAAUCAUGACAACAGGUUAGUGCUUUUCUGCUCUUCGCAUUAGCAUCUCCAAGUGCUUCUCUUCUGAUAGCUUGAGUGGUUGCUUAUGACAUUUCAGCGACAACGAUCAGUAAUGUGAAGCAGCCUAUCGCGAAUGCUUCUCUUCUUGAGGCAACCCCAUUGAAUUAUGGUGCCGGGCACAUAUGGCCUAGCCGUGCAAUGGACCCAGGCCUGGUCUAUGACCUAACGACUAAAGAUUACGUGAAUUUUCUAUGCUCCAUUGGCUAUAACUCAACCCAGUUGUCACUUUUUAUUGGUAAGCCAUACAUAUGCCCGUCGCAGAACAAUGGUCUGCUGGAUUUCAACUAUCCAUCCAUUACUGUCCCGAAUCUCUCAAGCAAUAAGACCACGUUGUCCCGAACCUUGAAGAACGUGGGGACUCCAAGCUUGUAUAGAGUUAAUAUCAGGGCACCUGGAGGCAUAUCUGUGAAGGUUGAGCCAAGAAGCUUGAAGUUCGAUAAGAUAAACGAAGAGAAAAUGUUCAAGGUCACUCUAGAGGCCAAGAAAGGGUUUAAGAGUAAUGACUAUGUGUUUGGAGAGAUAACCUGGUCUGAUGGGAAACACCAUGUGAGGAGUCCUGUUGUGGUGAAGAAGAUGGAAGUAGCAGCCUAAGGUUGAAGGACACUGACCAGGCGUCUGGAUUUGUAGGUGGAAGGCCAGCGUGUAGAGAUCUAUAUAUCUCCAUGGUCACCAAAUCGAUCUUCAAAUUCCCGUUCCAUGUCAUGACAAGUAUCGAAUGUCACCAAAUCGUGUCAUUUUUUUUAUGCCACUAAUCUAGUGAUUGAACUAAGAAAAUAAAAAUAAAAAUAAAUGGUUUUGUUUUAGAAUA
RNAcentral lists this long non-coding RNA (19838 nucleotides) under Populus tremula. RNAcentral's name for it is "long non-coding RNA (PTRE_LNC002662)". The record is from RNAcentral. Lineage: Eukaryota; Viridiplantae; Streptophyta; Magnoliopsida; Malpighiales; Salicaceae.